AUACUCUGGUUUCUCUUCAGAUCGUAUAAAUCUUUCACUUUUUACUAAAUAUUUCCAUGGAGAGGAACAUUUAUGAGUUUGUAACCAAUGUCUUAUUGUUGUUUUGAUUUAA
This is a small nuclear RNA of Anolis sagrei ordinatus, 112 nucleotides long. RefSeq annotates it as U5 spliceosomal RNA. NCBI's taxonomy places the organism in Eukaryota, Metazoa, Chordata, Lepidosauria, Squamata, Anolidae. The record is from RefSeq and is a predicted model, not a curated record.